RNAcentral lists this ribosomal RNA (479 nucleotides) under uncultured Curtobacterium sp. RNAcentral describes it as "bacterial SSU rRNA". It matches the Rfam family "Bacterial small subunit ribosomal RNA", at positions 902 to 1382 of the family's 1533-position model. The record is from RNAcentral. Lineage: Bacteria; Bacillati; Actinomycetota; Actinomycetes; Micrococcales; Microbacteriaceae.
CAAAGGAAUUGACGGGGCCCGCACAAGCGGCGGAGCAUGCGGAUUAAUUCGAUGCAACGCGAAGAACCUUACCAAGGCUUGACAUACACCGGUAACGCCCAGAGAUGGGUGCCCCUUUGUGGUCGGUGUACAGGUGGUGCAUGGUUGUCGUCAGCUCGUGUCGUGAGAUGUUGGGUUAAGUCCCGCAACGAGCGCAACCCUCGUCCUGUGUUGCCAGCGGGUCAUGCCGGGGACUCAUGGGAGACUGCCGGGGUCAACUCGGAGGAAGUGGGGAUGACGUCAAAUCAUCAUGCCCCUUAUGUCUUGGGCUUCACGCAUGCUACAAUGGCCGGUACAAAGGGCUGCGAUACCGCGAGGUGGAGCGAAUCCCAGAAAACCUGUCUCAGUCCGGAUUGAAGUCUGCAACUCGACUUCAUGAAGGCGGAAUCGCUAGUAACCGCGAAUCAGCAGGUCCGCGGUCGAAUACGUUCCCGGGCCUU